UUGGCUUCGUGACAGGACGGUCGCCGACAUGCAGAAAGACAAGCGAUGGCUUCAGCGUCGCCAUGCUGUAUAUUGGCGUGGAGCACUCUACGUACAUUGCGAAAAGGAUUUUGUUAUGAGGAUAUCACUGUCAAAAGAUACAUACCGAAUAAUUCAUCCACCACAUGGUAUUGAAAUAUUCGAGUACUCGGAGCUCCUUCUAGGAAAGUCUGAAAAGGGAGUUUACUGUGCCCUAAUUGGUGAUGAAUGCCAGCUUCUGGUUUGGAUCCUUGACGAAUCGCGCAGCCGAACCGAACGGAGUGGGUGCUAAAGCAUGACAGCGGUUGUGGGCUUGCAGCUGCACAACCAAGCCUAAACUAUGUUGCACAGCAAGUUAACGGACCCUGGAUCUUGGAAAACACUAACCGUCGCGAAGGCGACAACAUCGAAGCACCAGCUGAACAGGAGUCUGAAUGGAACUCAGAUGACGAAGAUGUUCUCAACAACCAAGAUAGUAGGGUUGAAAAUCACCAGUACAAAAGUUUUGACAUCCUUGGGUUCCAUCCUUACAAAGAAAUUAUCUUCUUGCAUAUGUCGCUGAGCAUAGGAUUGGCUUAUCACCUGAAUACCUCGAAACUGGAAAGCUUGGGUAAUAUAUGCCCAAUACAUUACUAUAAUAGAGCCAUACAUUGCUUUAUACAAUCAUGUUUUCCAUACACACCUUGUACAAUGGGAGGGUUCCCAGGCAGCUGUAGCUCCUAGGUAUAAUGAGUGAUCGUAUGACAACAUUCUUUUCCUAAUGGCAUUAUAUAUGAAAACAUGUUCGUUUUGUUGAGAACGGCUCUUAAAUGAUUGAUCAUCCAUAUGGAAAUUUUGUAG
This is a long non-coding RNA of Panicum virgatum (switchgrass), 858 nucleotides long. RefSeq lists it as uncharacterized. The record is from RefSeq and is a predicted model, not a curated record. The transcript is spliced from 2 exons. Lineage: Eukaryota; Viridiplantae; Streptophyta; Magnoliopsida; Poales; Poaceae.